CCAAAUAUAGUGUGUACAGGUGUCUGGCGUCCCAUAUAGCCGUCAGACUUAAUAGGGAAGCAUGGUGCAAAUCCAUCACGGUCCCGCCACUGUAUAGGGAUUCAGAGCGCAUUUUUGCGAUUUUGAUAUGAAUUCGGCUUUAUGCCACUGAAGGCUAACAUGUUAGGCCUUUGGGAAGGCGCCGAACUCUAUACCCCAAGUCAGGAGACCUGCCUGUAUACAGCACGACAU
RNAcentral lists this non-coding RNA (231 nucleotides) under Paenibacillus uliginis. RNAcentral also lists the same sequence under 1 other name. The record is from RNAcentral. Lineage: Bacteria; Bacillati; Bacillota; Bacilli; Caryophanales; Paenibacillaceae.